This 82-nucleotide transfer RNA is filed under the name Mycobacterium mantenii. RNAcentral describes it as "tRNA-Arg". Lineage: Bacteria; Bacillati; Actinomycetota; Actinomycetes; Mycobacteriales; Mycobacteriaceae. The record is from RNAcentral.
GCCUGACUUGGUGGCCGGACGGGCGCUGGCCGGCUUCGGGCUGACCGAGCCGGGCGCCGGUUCCGACGCCGGCGGCACGCGC